Molecule: ribosomal RNA, 1707 nt
Filed under: human oral metagenome
Description: bacterial LSU rRNA
Rfam family: Bacterial large subunit ribosomal RNA
Source: RNAcentral
CUAAGGCGAGGCCGACAGGCGUAGUCGAUGGACAACCAGUUGAUAUUCUGGUACCGCGUUAUGACCGCCCAUGCUGAAGUCAUUGUGCUAACCAAUCUGCUCACGCCGCCACUGAGCCUUCGGGUUUGUUGGUGUGUGUGGGUCUUGGGGCCCCGGUGAUUGUAGGCAAGCGUGUUAACAGGGGUGACGCAGACAGGUAGCUGCAGUGCGCCGAUGGUUGUGCGUAUUUAAGGUUGUGGCCCGUCCUCCAGGCAAAUCCGGGGGACACUGAGGGUGAGAACUGAUGAGGGACACACGCGUGUGUGGACUUGUGGUGAUCCUAAGCUGCCGAGAAAAGCCUCGACGUGAGGGCAUAACGCGCCCGUACCCUAAACCGACUCAGGUGGUCAGGUAGAGUAUACCGAGGCGUUCGAGUGAAUCGUGGUUAAGGAACUCGGCAAAAUUCCUCCGUAACUUCGGGAUAAGGAGGACCCCGUGGUUUCCCAACACCGUGCGUGUUGGUGGGGCCGUGGGGUCGCAGAGAAUAGGGAGAAGCGACUGUUUAUCAAAAACACAGGUGCGUGCGAAGCCGUAAGGCGAUGUAUACGCACUGACGCCUGCCCGGUGCUGGAAGGUUAAGAGGAACCGUCAACAUCCUUCGGGGUGUGAAGCGGUGAAUUUAAGCCCCAGUAAACGGCGGUGGUAACUAUAACCAUCCUAAGGUAGCGAAAUUCCUUGUCGGGUAAGUUCCGACCUGCACGAAUGGCGUAACGACUUCUCCGCUGUCUCAACCGCGAACUCGGUGAAAUUGCAGUACGAGUAAAGAUGCUCGUUUCGCGCAGAAGGACGGAAAGACCCCGGGACCUUUACUAUAGCUUGGUAUUGGUGUUCGCUUGGACUUGUGUAGGAUAGGUGGGAGACUGUGAAGCUGCCGCGCCAGCGGUGGUGGAGUCGUCGUUGAAAUACCAUUCUGGUUCAAGCGGUCACCUCAACCUAGACCCGUGAUCCGGGUUGGGGACAGUGCCUGGUGGGUAGUUUAACUGGGGCGGUUGCCUCCUAAAAUGUAACGGAGGCGCUCAAAGGUUCCCUCAGCCUGGUUGGUAAUCAGGUGGCGAGUGCAAGUGUACAAGGGAGCUUGACUGUGAGACCGACGGGUCGAGCAGGUGCGAAAGCAGGAACUAGUGAUCCGGCCAUGGCACGUGGGUGCGUGGUCGCUCAACGGAUAAAAGGUACCCCGGGGAUAACAGGCUGAUCUUGCCCAAGAGUCCAUAUCGACGGCAUGGUUUGGCACCUCGAUGUCGGCUCGUCGCAUCCUGGGGCUGGAGCAGGUCCCAAGGGUUGGGCUGUUCGCCCAUUAAAGCGGUACGCGAGCUGGGUUUAGAACGUCGUGAGACAGUUCGGUCCCUAUCCUCUGCGCGCGCAGGAGACUUGAGAAGACCUGUCCCUAGUACGAGAGGACCGGGACGGACGAACCUCUGGUAUGCCAGUUGUUCCGCCAGGAGCACGGCUGGUUAGCUACGUCCGGACAUGGAUAACCGCUGAAAGCAUCUAAGCGGGAAACCAUCUUCAAGACCAGGUCUCCACCACCCCCUCCUUUCUUUUUCGCUAUAGUGAAUAGAGGGGAGGGGUGGGAAGGCCCCCAGAUGAUGACUGGGUUGAUAGGCCGGAGGUGGACACCCAGUAACGGGCACCAAGCCGACCGGUACUAACACGGCCGAUCACACACAA